GCCCUCGUAGUCCAAUGGACAAGACGACCGCCUCCUAAGCGGUAGAUUCAGGUUCGACUCCUGACGGGGGCACUA
This 75-nucleotide transfer RNA is filed under the name Actinomycetes bacterium. Its description in RNAcentral is "Actinobacteria bacterium tRNA-Arg". It matches the Rfam family "tRNA". Rfam says of the family: Transfer RNA (tRNA) molecules are approximately 80 nucleotides in length. Their secondary structure includes four short double-helical elements and three loops (D, anti-codon, and T loops). The record is from RNAcentral. Lineage: Bacteria; Bacillati; Actinomycetota; Actinomycetes.